Molecule: unclassified non-coding RNA, 1249 nt
Filed under: Hevea brasiliensis (rubber tree)
Lineage: Eukaryota; Viridiplantae; Streptophyta; Magnoliopsida; Malpighiales; Euphorbiaceae
Source: RNAcentral
GGAACAUCUAGUACUAGCUAAGCUUAAGCAAAAUUCCAAUCAGUCCAGCCAAACAUUUGAAGAAAAAAAUUAAAGGAAAUUACAAUGUUUACAACAAAAAUAACAAGUAAAUAGUAUAACUUGAGCCAAAUAUAACUGAAUGAAAUAAAGAAUUGGAUUAUUUCAGAGUACAUCUGCAUAUAUAAUAUGCAGAAACUCCCUAUUUAAAUGUGAUAUGAUGCUGCCCACCUUCCAAUUACUGGUGCAAAGUUCCUCUACUUCAUGCUCUUCCACAAUGUAGAACAUUGCUGGGAACCGGAGAUUCAUCUCUCCACGAAUUUACGGGUGAGUAAACUCGCAGAUAAAAUUGUUGUCCUAAGUAUUGACGAGCCCAAUUCUGAGACCUUAUGUUCCACAUUCCCACAUUAUCUAAUGGCAUGUAUAGUGCAGUCCAGGACUUUGGGUACACCUGAACUGUUGAACGAGAAAUCGUGUCCCUUAAGUUGUAUGUUAAUCUGCUUGCAGGAGUCCACUCUCCGCGACCCAUUCCCACAACGAAGAAAUGGUGUCCAUCGAUGUGGUAAGACUGCACACUGUCUUCUAAAUUCUCAAAUACAACUUCAGUAUAAGCUCGAAAAUCAGCAGACAUAACGGAUGUCUGAAGGUAAGCACCGGAUCCAGUAGGGCUAUCUGGAAUGCUUCCAAGGGUAAAGACCCCGGGAAUAUUGAAGUGAUCAGCAAGUUUAAGUGGUGUAUCUGCUGGAAUAAAGGACACGCUGUUGAUAGCAUAUCUUUGCUUCCCAUUGAUGAUUGGAGCUGAAUUCGCAAGUCUAAUUGUGCGUGUGGUGUUAAUAAGUCCGUAGUGGUAGGAGCCCUGAGGGUUAGGUCUCGGUCCACUAGCUGUUAGAUUACGCCUGAGAGAUCGGGCCUGAUUGAAAGACCAAUCAAUUUCAAUUGUUGGUCCACCAGGAGGAGGGCCAGAAACACUUCCUGCUGAAUUACUAUAACGAAGAGUAGACGUAGCUGUGAGCACCUGAGAUGUGAAACGAGUGGAGACAACAAUAUAGUAAUCUUGUGCAGGUUGAUCCGCAGUUAACAACACAGAAUAGGACUGUCCCAAAUGGAUAUCAAGAGAAUCAUAUGCAUUUUGCACAGUGUGAGUCCCUUCUACUUCAACUACAGUCAUCUUAUGCCCUUGGAUUCUAAAAUUAACGGAAGUUGUGAGACCAACGUUUGAUAUCCUGAAUCUGUAAGUCUUGCCUUGAUCAAC